UGGUUCUAAUGAUAGCUUAGUUCCUAUUCUGUCUUGGGGCAGUACAAAACUAGGAUAUUCUCCUAUGGCUAAGUUAGUAAGUUUGAUUACUUAAUGUACCAAAGUUGGCUAGUAAACAUUUUAGUUUGAGGUUUAUUUUUUGGGUCUCGUGUUUUAGGAUAGUUGCUUUUAAAAUUCAGUUAAGUUGGCUUCUGAAUAGGGAUAAGUUUGCUUACUUAAUCUACCUAAGUCGGCUAGUAAAAAAUUUAACUUGAGGUUUAAUCUUUAUGUCUCAUCUUCUAGGAUAAUUGGUUAUUCUUUUGUGUUUUUUUCCUGGGCAAAGCUUUGUUCUUACUGAUUAAGGGAAGUUGCAAGCUUCAGUCGUGUGCGUGGAUCCAUUGAGAGUUGGAGAAGGAAGAAGCGCUAGAUUUGUUGGUUGCAGAACAAGAAAGCUGGGCGAGAGGGAGAUGGGUAUAGUGGUAGUUGUUGGGUGACGGAAGAGGGGGCGCACUUCCCGCCCAACUAAAAGGUGUCGGUGCCACCAAAGGAGACGUUCUUUUUGUUGGAAUGACGAGGACUGAAGCCUUCGUAUCUUUGAAGAUGCCACCGAUUUUACAAUGAGACCCAGGAGCAACUCACUUGCCAGCAGGACACAUACCCCAGUAUAGUCAACGAAAUCAAUGAAGAAUUUGCCACCGGAAAUUAUGUUUGCCUGAAUAUAGAGAUUUUCUGUAAUUUUUGUACUAAGUUUAUCCGUGCUUUUUGUUGAAUGAAAGCUGGGAUUUCUCCUGAUGUAUCUAGGUUGGUCCAGAUUUGUUA
Lolium rigidum is the source of this 798-nucleotide long non-coding RNA. RefSeq lists it as uncharacterized. NCBI's taxonomy places the organism in Eukaryota, Viridiplantae, Streptophyta, Magnoliopsida, Poales, Poaceae. The record is from RefSeq and is a predicted model, not a curated record. The transcript is spliced from 3 exons.